UCAAACAUCAUCAUGCAUUUAAGUGAAC
This 28-nucleotide non-coding RNA is filed under the name Bombyx mori (domestic silkworm). Lineage: Eukaryota; Metazoa; Arthropoda; Insecta; Lepidoptera; Bombycidae. The record is from RNAcentral.